This 253-nucleotide ribosomal RNA is filed under the name uncultured bacterium. RNAcentral describes it as "partial 16S ribosomal RNA". It matches the Rfam family "Bacterial small subunit ribosomal RNA", at positions 524 to 776 of the family's 1533-position model. The record is from RNAcentral.
GACAGAGGGUGCAAACGUUGUUCGGAUUUACUGGGCGUAAAGCGUGUGUAGGCGGCCCACUAAGUCUGGUGUGAAAUCCCCGAGCUUAACUCGGGAACUGCAUCGGAAACUGGUGGGCUUGAGUCCGGGAGAGGGUAGCGGAAUUCCUGGUGUAGAGGUGAAAUUCGUAGAUAUCAGGAGGAACACCGGUGGCGAAGGCGGCUACCUGGACCGGUACUGACGCUGAGACACGAAAGCGUGGGGAGCAAACAGG